AGCACUUUCUGGGGUGUGUGUGUGGGGUGUUUUUAUAUCUCAGGAAGCUGCCGGAAGAUCAACACACAUUUACUAGGGAGAAAAAUCUGAAACUGUAAUACCUUCUUGAGAUGAUUAUUUACAUUUAUAUCCCGCUCUUCCUCUAAGGAGCCCAGAGCAGUGUACUACAUACUUAAGUUUCUUCUCACAACAACCCUGUGAAGUAGGUUAGGCUGAGAGAGAAGUGACUGGCCCAGAGUCACCCAGCUAGUAUCGUGGCUGAAGGGGGAGUUGAACUCAGGUCUCCCUGGUCCUAGUCCAGCACUUUGACCACUACACCAUGCCUAAAAUAUCUCAUGAGUGGUCAGCAAGCUAACCUUUUAUGGGCCUCUGAACAAGUUAGAACACUGCCAGGUUUGAAGGUUGGACGCCAGGGGUGUGUGUGUGCACUUACCCCCCACCCUGCCCCACCAAUUUCCCCCACUGGUGCUCGGGGCAGCAGCAUACCUCCCUGCUGCCCCAUUGCCCGUUUUACCGGAAGUACUUGACGCGCCUGUGUGCAUUGCGCUUGCGUGCACACAUCAGGUGUGUGUGCGCGCGAUGUGUGUGGAACGCAUGCGGCAAAGGGGGCAACGGGGCAGCAGGGAGGUAUGCUGCGGCCCCUACAGAUUUUUAGGAAACCAGGUGCUGGCGGGGGAAACGUGAUGGGGGGGGAGUGCACCCUCCGCUGCCCUCAAAGUUAACCUCCCCCCCACCACACACACACCCCUGCGUUGAACUGGCCCCCGGCGGUUCCUUGCACAUCCCUAGCAAGUUUUCCAUUUCUUCAGGCUGGAAGUUAAGUACAAUGAGGAGCUUGGGGUAGACAAAUUCCCAUCCUCCUUUUUAUUUUAACAUGGAGUCUGAAGGCGGCUUCUGAAGAACUCAAAAGCUCAUUAUUUUUGAGAUUGGUUGGUUGGGCCUCAGAGGUAUUACACAUUACCCAGCUUUGGAUUUAGGCUAAUGGACUAACACAGCCAUUAUUGUUUCUUUGUGGUAUUAGUGUUGGACAUCAGGGUUUCUCAACGUGUGGGUCCCCAGAUGUUAUUGGACUUCAGCUCCCAUAAUCCCCUGCCCCAGUGGCCUUUGGUUGGGAAUUAUGGGAGUUGAAGUCCAAUUACAUCUGGGGACCCACACGUUGAGAAUCCCUGGACUAGGUGAUUAGCUUUAAGCCCCUGCUCAAUUUUGUCACUCCUUAAAUGGCUUUGAGUGAGUCGCUCUCAUGGCCAGCCUACUUCACAAGGUUGCUGUGAGGAUCAGAAGGGGCAGAGGGAGAGAGCCAUGUGUGCUGCUCUGAGCUGGUUAGAGGAAGUAAAGGGUUAAAGUGCAAUCAUAAAUAUUAAGACCAACUAAAAUAUCUCAAAGUUGUGAUGAGCAAACUUGCAAGUCCCUGAGCAUGAAAACUUGCUCAAUCUUUUUCUAUGUAAGCUGCUUUGAGAACAGCUUAGUUGAAAAGCAGAAUACAAAUAAUAAUCGGUCCAGUUAGUGAGUGUCCAUGUAAUUGCAUGCAAACAAACUAGAAAGUAAAACCCACAGACUCAGUAAAGAUUGUCAGUGACAUUAAAAGCAGCUUAGAGUGUGUUCUCACAUUGAUCCAGACUGGCAAAAAAAGCAGGAAUCCUAGAUCCAAGCAGUGUGGAUCAUAAGAAGCUGCCUUCCAUCGAGUCAGACCAUUGAUCCAUCUAGCUCAAUACUGUCUACCCAGACUGGCAGCAGCUUCUCCAAGGUUACAGGCAGGAGUAUUGUGUAUUAUUUUGUAUUGUGAGAACCUGAAACUGUAGUAGGGCUUACUUAGUCCACAUCAACCUCAGAUCAAAUCCUAGAUCACUGAUCUGAUGUGGGCUGGGUGCAGUUGUAAGCCUUGCAUUUCGGAGUUCUCACAACAGAAAAUUAGGAGUGUGUGCGCUGCUUGGAUCUAAGAUUCUUGCUUUCCUGGCAUCCCAGAUCAUCUUAAGAAUGCAUCCAUGGAUUGCAUGCUGGAAGAUUGCAUGCUGGGUGCCACAACAGAAAGGCUCUCUUUCUGCUCCUGAUCCUGGAAUGUGGCCUGAACCUCAGAACAUGGGGGCACUCAUAAAAAGGGCCUUUGACAAAUGAUCUUGUCAUUCAGAAAGGUUCAUGUGAGAGAAGGCAAUACUUUAGAUAUGUGGGGCCCAAGCUGUUUAGGACUUGAGAAGUUAAGUUACUGGUAGUUGGUGCAGCUGAAGACCUGAAGAGAUGCAUUCCAGUUGGCCAGACUAGGUCAACAACCCUGUGAGCAGUAUUGUGGAGUAACUGAAGUUCCAAGAAGUAAAAGGUGUGCCGUUGAGUCGGUGUCGACUCCUGGUGACCACAGAGCUCUGUGGUUUUCUUUGGUAGAAUACAGGAUGGUGCAUUUCAGCAUCUUCCUAUUUCGCUGCUACCCGAUAAAGGUGUUUCCCAUAGUCUGGGAAACAUACCAGUGGGGAUUUGAACCGGUAACCUCUGGCUUGCUAGUCAAGUCAUUUCCCCGCUGGAAAUCAGACAGCAAAUAGCUUAAAACCAUGACAUUUAAAAUGUUAGUUUGGUCUCUUCUAAUAUGAUUUCGAGCUUUCUGCCCAAGCUAACAAUCCCAAGUGCUACUCACCUAUUUUGGAGUGGAUACAACAGCAGAAACUGUCUACAGAACCAAGCACACUGUGAAGAUACCCUGGUUUUUCGUGUUUGGAAAAAUGAAUAUCAUGCUGCCAGCUCAAAUACCACAAGCUGAAGGGCUCUAAUAUAGAGAAAAGGGGCAUAUGAUCCUUUUCCAAGUCAUGACAAAAAGAAAUGAUUUGUGGUUGACAGCAUGAGCUCUUCAAGCUGAAACGAACAAAAUCACCAUCUCCAGUUUCCCAUGUGUCUUUCCUGAAGAUCUGCACUGCAUUAUGGAUUGGAACUCAAGUAAGCCAAACAAACUGGUGUGAUUCUGCUGCUGACAUUGUUAACACUGGGGAUGAAGCAGUCUUGGCACAAGCUCCUCUUACGUCACACUGACCCUCCUUUUCAAGCUUUAUGAUAUGGACUGCUGCCCCUCAUAUUGGGGGGUGCAUGUACAGCCUUGAACGGCUGAGUGUAAAACAACUGCUUUGGCCUGAUCCUUACCUGACUUGCAUGCCUGUGCUCCAAGAACAGACAUCCUUCCUCAGCAGCAGAUUGUUCAGGGCCACAGCGUUGAUCAUAUAGAAAAGCUGCUUAAAGACCUGUUGGAUGAUCUCGGGGUCGAGCCCCUGGUCGCACACGACACUGUGAAAUGUGUUGAGUUGGCGGAUGAUCGCCUCCAAGCUGUAUGAGUUGUCACUGUCUCCCAUGCUGGAGGUUCGCUUCCGGUAGCCCAUUGGCUUCGCACCCGACAGGCCUUGGAUGCUCUCGUUUUCCAAUACCGCAGACACUGGGAAGAGAGGAAAUUAUUUUCAGCAGGCUAAGUAGAGACGCCAAGGAAGUGGCAAGGGUAGCAUUUCCACUCUGAGCUUCCUUAAUAGCUGCUAGAUUCUGUCUGCCCAAAUUCACAUCUUUAAAUUAUAUGUAAUUUGCAUUUCAGGCUCAUGAACGGAGAGUAAUGGGCUGUAAUUCUGGUGGCACAUACACGUAGCACUUUAGUGACCUAGAGGGAGCAAUAAAUGCUGGGAAUUCUCUUGGGCUUUCAACCUGCACUGAGAGAAGCUUCCUUUGUCAGGUUAACUCUCCUGCUGUUGGCAUAUGGAGGAUAAAUUUACUCAGUAUUCCUCUGACAUUGUUGUGGGAGGAAGGACUAAUUAGCUAAUGGCCAUAAAGGACUAAAAUACUGUGGGGUAAUAGGAAGGGUUAGAACUCAAUUAACAUACUGUAAAAAUUACAAAUAUCUCUGCAAGGAGGUAUAAUAAAUUUAUACCACAGCUCUAGCAUGCAGUUGGAAUGGAUUCCAUGUUGAAAGCGAUUAUUCAAAUAGGGGGGAAAUGGAUGCAAAAGGAAGGAUUAAAAGAACUGCAUCCCCAGAACUAGAACUUGGGUGACUAGUGGAAGAAGAGUGCCAUGACUGAAAGUAUUCCAUAAACGCACUGUGCCAGAGAGGAACUGGGUACUGGGGACAGGAUUCAGCACUGUGGAAAUCUUGGUGUGUUUGGUUUCUUAAAAGCCCUUAAAGUUAAAAGGCAUAGGUAACGCCUGUUGAACUCAGGGUUCCUAUGAAAUUCACUUUUGGGUUCCUAUGGGGAAAUGAAAAUGAGAAAAGUUGUCAACACUCAUAACUCGUACCAGAUGUCUGACAGCUCCUAAUUUAGAUCCAUCCUUUAUAGGCUAAGCAGAUUUUCAAUUUCAAUACAAUGUUUUCUGCAUACAGCCCUCCAAAGGAAUGGUUCUAAAAGCAUUAUAUUCCAACUAGCUUUCAGACCAAAAACGGCUUCUCUGCAAACACCAUUCAAAUGAAUGAGACUUGUACAAAAGUGCUAUUUGGGAAGCUGUGCCCAUUGGGUCACUUGAUGAAUGGAACCCUUCAUUCAAGAACAUUGUGGAAUCAGUCAGCAUUGGCUGAAUUCAUUCAGGAAGUAGGGGAAAGUUAGCUGCUAGUGCUCCAGUGAACCACUGGGUUGAGUUCAAUAUUGUUCCCGCCACUUCACCUAUCAUGGGCUGCAAGACGCCUUCUGCGAUUUUGAUGAGCUGCUGGUAAAUCUGAAUGGAAAGAUCACUUAGGACCUGGCGAUACUCAGUGAGGUCGAAAUUCUUCAGACAGUGUUCAUUCUGCUUCGCAGUGUUUUGGGUCAUAAAACCCUGAGAAAGAGAGAGCAACAGAAGGGAGCAAUUUAGCUGAGAGCAGUUUGCAUUUAAUCUUAGUAAAGCACCACACAUUUUAGAUCUUGGUAUAUCAGACAAAACUGACAACUUUAUUAUAAUUCUGUCCAGUCAUUCUGCCCCUGCCCCAUGUAUUUACUGAACACGCCAGAGUUCUCUCACCGCAUCUCCGCUGUAUUGCUUCAAACAAUGUAGGAGGCGACAGGUAUUGGCCAGCCAAAAGGAUGUCAUCUCAAAAUCCUCAUUGUGCUUCUGUGAAGAACCCAAAAUAAAUGAGAUGAAAACCUCCUUUUAUGGAUGAACUGUAUUACAGAAAUGAUUAAUUCAGAGCAUCAGCACUUUGUAACAUUGUUUCUGUUACAAGCAACAGAAAUGCCAAAUUCUGUUGCGAUUUCCAUAUUACUUGGGUUGAACCAUUUGAACAGGAGUGUUAGGCUUCAUGGACAAUGGUGGGAGGGGAGAGAAGGAAUAAGAGAAUAAAAAGACAAGAGGAGGGCAGUCCUUAGGGUCUGGAGGGACUGGGGACAGUGAGGGAGAUGUGUGCUUUCUGUCUGUCACUUUGGGGUUCAAAUCCUGGUCUGCAGAGCUAUCGGGCAACUUCACUGCUCAGUUUACCAUCAUCAGGGACUCUGUACAAAGAUUCACUGAGAGAUGAUCAGGUAACCUUUUGCUGGCCACUAAUGGGACUUGGUCUGUAAUAAAAGCAUUGCAUUGCCCAUG
Long non-coding RNA from Hemicordylus capensis (graceful crag lizard), 5499 nucleotides. RefSeq lists it as uncharacterized. NCBI's taxonomy places the organism in Eukaryota, Metazoa, Chordata, Lepidosauria, Squamata, Cordylidae. The record is from RefSeq and is a predicted model, not a curated record. The transcript is spliced from 3 exons.